Molecule: long non-coding RNA, 844 nt
Filed under: Nicotiana benthamiana
Lineage: Eukaryota; Viridiplantae; Streptophyta; Magnoliopsida; Solanales; Solanaceae
Description: long non-coding RNA (NBEN_LNC022314)
Source: RNAcentral
UGAACUUCUAUUUUAACUAUAUUCAUUAUUUGCUAGUCAAUAGCCAAAGAAAUGACACCAGGUAGACAUUUCAGAAUUAAGAGGACUGCUAUUUAGAAAAGUGUGUCCUGAAUUUCAUUUUUUAGUUUACUUUUUCAAGACACAAAGUCCUAAAAUUAAAAUUUAAUUCAAUUUUUCAAAACAAAUACUACUAAUCCCAAAUGACAGCCCAAAAAUGGCUAUUUGUAUACUUCCCCUCAUUUGCCUAUGGAAACUUUAGAAAAUGGCCUCUCUUACUGGGAAAUCAAUAGAAGUCCCGACCAAAUAGAGGAAUCAUUUAUGGGCCGAAUUUUCGGUUUAAAGCAACGGAAAAAGGGUGAAGUGCACAGUUAGCUAUUAAUUAGAGAUGUUUUUACUUCUUAAUUAUUAUUUAAAAUGUAUUUACUUUUUAGUUAAUACUUGAUAAAUUUUUACUCGCCCGGAUAAAAGUAUCCCUCUGCCAGAUGUAGGUGUCGUGUUAAUAUUACAGAUAUGAUGUCAUUAACUUUAUGAAUAUUAAGGACAAAGUGUUUUGUAUUUGUAUCUUUCAUUAUUAAACUUUAGGACAUCCUUAACUUCAUAUGUGCAGUGUAAAUAUUAAAAAUAUGGCGUCCUUAACUUCAUGUGUGCAGUGUAAAUGUUAAUGAUAUAAUGUCCUUAACUUGUAUUUGCACCUUCUGUUGUUAAACUUUAUGAACUCAUAUCUUUAACUUCAUAUGUAUAAUUUAAAUAUAAAGGACACGGCAUCCUUAACUUCAUGAGUGUAUUGUAAAUAUUAAGGACGUAGUGUCCUUGAUUUUAUAACAAUAACCCAGGAUAAUCUUAC